UGACAGCGGAGGGAUCAUUACCGAGUUUACAACUCCCAAACCCCCGGUGAACUUAUACCAUUUACUGUUGCUUCGGCGGGUCAUGGCCCCGGGGAAAGAAAGCGGUCGCCGUCUGGCCUCAGCUGCCCGCCCCCGGAAACAGGCGACCGCCGGGGAACUCAAACUCUUCUGUAUUUCUUUAUCUAAUAUAUACUGUCUGAGUAAAAACUAAAAUGAAUCAGAACUUUCAACAACGGAUCUCUUGGUUCUGGCAUCGAUGAAGAACGCAGCGAAAUGCGAUAAGUAAUGUGAAUUGCAGAAUUCAGUGAAUCAUCGAAUCUUUGAACGCACAUUGCGCCCGCCAGUAUUCUGGCGGGCAUGCCUGUUCGAGCGUCAUUUCAACCCUCAAGUCCCCUGUGGACUCGGUGUUGGGGACCGGCGAGACAGCCGCGGAUCUUCUUCCGCAGCGAGUCGCCGCCCCCCAAAUGACUUGGCGGCCUCGUCGCGGCCCUCCUCUGCGUAGUAUAGCACACCUCGCAACAGGAGCCCGGCGAAUGGCCACUGCCGUAAAACCCCCCAACUUUUUCAGAGUUGACCUCGAAUCAGGUAGGAAUACCCGCUGAACUUAAGCAUAUCAAUAAGCGGAGGAAAAGAAACCAACAGGGAUUGCCCCAGUAACGGCGAGUGAAGCGGCAACAGCUCAAAUUUGAAAUCUGGCCCCCAGGGUCCGAGUUGUAAUUUGCAGAGGAUGCUUUUGGCAAGGUGCCUUCCGAGUUCUCCUGGAACGGGACGCCAUAGAGGGUGAGAGCCCCGUCUGGUUGGAUACCGAGCCUCUGUAAAGCUCCUUCGACGAGUCGAGUAGUUUGGGAAUGCUGCUCUAAAUGGGAGGUAUAUGUCUUUUAAAGCUAAAUAUUGGCUCAGAGACCGAUAGCGCACAAGUAGAGUGAUCGAAAGAUGAAAAGCACUUUGAAAAGAGGGUUAAAUAGUACGUGAAAUUGUUGAAAGGGAAAGCGCUCAUGACCAUGACUUGGGCCUCGGUGAAUCAUCCAGCGCUCGUCGCUGGUGCCACGUUGCCGGAGCUUCAGGUCCAGCAUCAGUUCAGCUCCGGGGGACAAAGGCUCUGGGAAAGUGGCUCCUCCGGGAGUGUUAUAGCCCCCUGCGCAAUACCCUGGGGCGGACUGAGGUUCUGCGCGCUCGGCAAGGACGCUGCUCGUUCGUUCG
This 1200-nucleotide ribosomal RNA is filed under the name uncultured Metarhizium. RNAcentral describes it as "eukaryotic LSU rRNA". The stretch from base 572 to 1200 matches the Rfam family "Eukaryotic large subunit ribosomal RNA", at positions 1 to 639 of the family's 3401-position model. The record is from RNAcentral. Lineage: Eukaryota; Fungi; Ascomycota; Sordariomycetes; Hypocreales; Clavicipitaceae.